CUUCAAUCGGCCAUGUGCAGUUCUUGGUUAUCUGUGGACGUCUUUUACUUUAGUUGUGAUUAUUGCCACAGUGCUGUACAUGUGUGGACAUGGCAAGACCUAAACCAGCACCAUGGAGCUUGUCUGUGGAUUUCUACACGGGGCAAGUGACUGCAGUGUGUGUCUACAACUCGCAUGUUUUGGCAGGUGUUGGUGGCAACAUUGAAGUAUUUGAUGUUUCCAAGUCAAACACAGUUUAUUCUCUCUACGCCUUUCCUUGUCGUAACAUCCAUGGUAUAAAGAAAGAACCAGAGUCUGACGUGUUCUGCAUCUGGGGCGAGAAGUGUUUCAGAUUGUUCAAGUUUAUCACAGAGGACUGCAUGGUUAGUUUGCAGUUGCUUAAUGACAUCAUUCAGGUGGAAGACUGGAUCUGGGACGUGCACUGGCUGAGAGAGAGUGAAGACUCUCACAGUCUUGCCUUAGCCUUGGGUCACAACGUCGUCUUACACUGGGACCUCGUCACACAGACUCAGCUGCACAGAGAAGAGUGUGUGGAGAAAUGUAUACUUUACUGUGCUCAUUUCAUUGGACGCCGGUGGUCCUGUCUGACUUUAGCAGCCGGGACUGUCUUCAAUCAGGUUGUAUUCUGGACGAUGUGUGGACACACUACAGCUGACAACAAACAGGAAGUUGUCCACCGCUUGUCAGGUCAUGAUGGUGUAAUAUUUGGAAUAGACUAUCACCCACAGCGGAGAAUGAUAUCAUCUGUUUCAGACGAUCGCAGCAUUCGUCUUUGGCAGCUCACAUUUCCAUCGGAACGCGGAGAACCAACAGCAGAAGACUGGCGGGGGGUCAGUUCAUCACCAAUGGCAACACUCUAUGGCCACUCUGCUCGAGUCUGGGACAUCAGGUUGCUGAAAAACUGCUUUGUCAGUAUUGGAGAGGAUGCAACUUGUUGUGUUUGGGAUUACCAGUGGCAGAUAACUCAGAAGUUGAAAGGACACAAGGGUAAAAGUAUCUGGAGUUUGGCCACAAGUGUUGAUGACAAGUUUGUGGUAACUGGUGGUGGUGAUGGCAGUAUACGCUUGUGGGAGCUGGACUCGGAAUCAGCACAGAACGGUUUGAUAGGAUCCAGUCUUGUAAUUCCAGAAAACAUUAAAGGAAGUACAGAUGACCACCCACGGAUUGUAGCAUUGCUGAAUUUCAACACCAUUCUCAUCAUGACCAUGGAAGGAAUCCUGUGCAGCUACUUUAUCACCGAGGAAACAUGGCACCAAGUGUUCCGUGAUGAAGAUUUUCGAUCCUACAGUCUUCUUGCUGUGUGUCGCAGUACAGCAGUCGUAGCACUCGGCAGCAUUACAGGAACACUGAAAAUACUGACACAGAGACCACAUUUUGAAAGAAGCCUCAUUAUUCUGUACCAUGAGAAGAUCUUUCCAGGAAAAAUCUUUGGACUGUGCUGGUUGAACGAAUGUCACUUGUUAAUCACUGGGCCUGAUGGUGUAAUGGUUCUAAUGAAGAUGCACCAAUCAGCUGACACGUCAGUGCACCUGGAGUCUCUGGGCACGUUGUUCCUGCCAGCUUGUAAGCAGCGCUGGGUGUCAGCCGGCUUAGCCAUGUGGUCAGAUGGUCUGCUGGUGUGUGGUGACAAGGGGGGUACAGUUCACUGCUACAGUCUCCAGCCAGAACAGCUGACACCUCUAAAGCCUCCUGACUGUAGUUUUCCAAAAAUACAUGGAAAGUGUGGUGUCACUGAUGUCUGUCGUCAUGGUAACUAUGUUUUGACAGCAGGACGAGAUGGUCAUUAUCGUACCUGGAAGGUUGUUGAAGGAAAACUCCAACUGCUCAACAGCAAUAAGGUUAUGAAAGGCAUGGAAUGGAUCGAUGGACUUCAAAUUACUGAAGACGAUUUACUGGUCUACGGUUUUCAUUCGGCCUAUUUUACUGUGUGGAGUGUUAAGAAGAAUGAGAAGGUCAUAGAGGUGGAGUGUGGCGGAGGUCAUAGGUCAUGGGACUGUUUGAUUGAUAACUCACUCGCACGGUUUGUCUACCUCAAGUCAAAAGACGUGAUCUUGUUCGAGAAAAAACUCACUUCAAGCCAACGUAUCUUGAAGCCUGCUUUUCAUGGCAGAGCACUCUGUGAUGUCAAAUAUAUCGCAACGCUGACUGAUUCUACAGGUGUUCCUGUCUAUUUGAUGGCAACUUGUAGUGAGGAUACUACUAUCAACAUUGUUUCAGUUGCCUAUAACAAUGGCAUUCCAGAGCUCCGUGUUGAUCACACAUUACAGGGCCAUCUGUCUAGUGUUCGAGCUCUUUGUCUGAGUACAUCCUGCAGAAAGGAAUCAGACACUCGUGACUCGCAGUCAUCAGUACAUUCAGUAACAUGUGGAGAUGAUCAGUCUUAUGGACAGAAGAUCAUGUUUUCUGGUGGCGGACGUGCACAGAUCCAAGUCUGGUGCGUCCACUUCCGGACUGGAUGUGCGUCACUUGACAGCAUUGCCAACAGUAAUUAUACAGAUCGUCUGUUCAAAACUCCACAUUUCGACGACUCCAGUUCUUGUAUAGACGAGAAGACGUCAAUGGCUUCUCCUGCUGAACGUUACAGUUCACAGAAUGAUGUUAUUAAUUCUUUGUUGUCGGUGAAGUCGGAGGAGGAAUUCAGUCACGGUGAUGCUCACAACAAGACUAGUUCACUGAGUGACUGUGGACCUUCUGACAUGACCCCUGAUAGAACAACCACACACUCUGAUGAUCCAUCACCAACACUGUUAGGACAGUCACAGGUUUGUGGCAGCACAGAAGGUGAUGAUGUUGAAGCUCUAGUGAAGGUGCCUGAAAGGACUUUUUCAUUCUGUGACAGUGUUUCACCAACAGAAAUACAGGAACCAGAAAUUGAUAGCAAUGUUCCUGAUCAAACUAUUUCACAGGGUACAAGAACUUCACUUAAAAGUUCGACAUUAACAACACUGAAAGGACAUGGUCAUCACCAUGGAGAUAUCCACACGAAGUCACAUGAUGCUGGUGGUUGUUUGUAUGAACAUUUGGCAAACUGUUUCUUGGGGGAUCAGAGACACAGCAGAGGGAACAAGCCGUGGAAGGUGAUGUUUUCUAAAGCAGACCCAGAAACCAGAAUACUGGAUCUCACUGCCUUCUCUGCUGAUGACAUUCACAGAGGCAACCAUCUGGGCUUACACUUUGUGGCAGCUGCAUGUUCUGAUGGGUUUGUCAGAUUUUUGGGGUUUAAUGAAUCCUCCAGAUCUCUAAGCCUUUUGCAACAGUCUGGUUACCAUGGAAGCUGUGUUUUAAAAGUUCAUCACUUUCCUGUUCGACACGGCCAAGACCAUUCCACCAAGAUGCUGUUGUUGUCUGCAGCAACAGAUGGCCGAGUUGCCAUUUGGGACGUCACUUCCCUCUGUGAUGGUUACAUCCAUCACGUGAAUGUGAGACACGACCAGGAGGAACACAUUGCUGGUGGUCCUGAUAACAGCCUUGGACCUGGUCGUCACUCCACGAGGAACAAGUCUAGAGUGACCCAGCACCCAGACCGAUCCGUGCAGAUCUCGGUCAAUCCAGCCGGCACUCACUUGGUGGGUGAAGAUUUCACUCCAGUACAUGUGUUGAAGAGUCACCAGUCGGGAGUGAACAGUCUGCAUGUGCGGGAGUUGAAAAGUAGACAACCGGUAUAUGAUUUGCAGUGGUGGAGAUGACAACUGUCUGUCUGUAUGUGUGGUGACAGUCACUGGUGUUGAUGGGCUGCUCGUUACCAUGACAACUGAUCAAGUGUGUUGGAAACCCAGUGCUCACGCAGCUCAGAUUACAGGCACGUGGAUAGUUAGUGACGACCACAUAGUUACUGUGUCAAUAGACCAGCGUGUCUGUGUCUGGAGAGUGAUCACAGAGACUGGGAAAUCAUUGCAG
Molecule: unclassified non-coding RNA, 3897 nt
Filed under: Gigantopelta aegis
Lineage: Eukaryota; Metazoa; Mollusca; Gastropoda; Neomphalida; Peltospiridae
Description: wD repeat-containing protein 6-like, transcript variant X2
Source: RNAcentral